RNAcentral lists this ribosomal RNA (360 nucleotides) under uncultured eukaryote. RNAcentral describes it as "partial 18S ribosomal RNA". It matches the Rfam family "Eukaryotic small subunit ribosomal RNA", at positions 592 to 976 of the family's 1831-position model. The record is from RNAcentral.
CAAUAGCAUAUAUUAACGUUGUUGCAGUUGAAAAGCUCGUAGUUGAACUUUUGGUAGGAGCGACCUGGCCUUGGGCGCAUGCCCUUGUUUGCCGUGUGUCGUGUCUGGCCAUCCUUUUCCGCUUCGGCGGGAAUCUUUUACUGUGAGUAAACUGGAGUGCUCAAAACAAGACGUUUGUUUGGUACAUUAAAGCAUGGAAUAAUAAGAUAGGACCUGGUUACUAUUUUGUUGGUUUGCAUAGCUGGGUAAUGAUUAACAGGGACAGUUGGGGGUAUUCGUAUUUAAUUGUCAGAGGUGAAAUUCUUGGAUUUAUGAAAGACGAACGACUGCGAAAGCAUUUACCAAGGAUGUUUNCAUUAA